Molecule: ribosomal RNA, 310 nt
Filed under: uncultured Glomeromycotina
Lineage: Eukaryota; Fungi; Glomeromycota
Description: LSU rRNA
Source: RNAcentral
UUGAAAGGGAAACGAUUGAAGUCAAUCAUGCCCGCGGAGAAUCCACUUAGGGGAAACUCUGAGGGCCCCUCUUCGCUUGGCAGGUUAGCGUCGAUUUUGGAUGUCAUAAAAUGACUGAGGGGAAAGUAGCUCUUUCGGGAGUGUUAAGCCCUUGGUAGAUGUGAUGUCUGGGAUCGAGGAUUGCAACGGAUACCUUUUGGGCUAGCCGCCUAGUCUCUAAUACGAAGUUGGGUUACAGACAGCACGCUGACUGUGUCUGAUUUCGGUUAAAAGAUUAGAGCGAGCAUAAAUCGUUAAGGAUGUUGACGUA